This 809-nucleotide ribosomal RNA is filed under the name uncultured bacterium. RNAcentral describes it as "partial 16S ribosomal RNA". The stretch from base 64 to 570 matches the Rfam family "Bacterial small subunit ribosomal RNA", at positions 35 to 539 of the family's 1533-position model. The record is from RNAcentral.
GAACUUAAUCGUACUCGCGAAUGCAUCNCAGAUUAGGUUUAUGAUCAUGGCUCAGAAUUGAACGCUGGCGGUCAAAGCCUAACACAUGCAAGUCGAGCGGAUGAUGGGAGCUUGCUCCCGGAUUCAGCGGCGGACGGGUGAGUAAUGCCUAGGAAUCUGCCUGGUAGUGGGGGACAACGUUUCGAAAGGAACGCUAAUACCGCAUACGUCCUACGGGAGAAAGCAGGGGACCUUCGGGCCUUGCGCUAUCAGAUGAGCCUAGGUCGGAUUAGCUAGUUGGUGGGGUAAAGGCCUACCAAGGCGACGAUCCGUAACUGGUCUGAGAGGAUGAUCAGUCACACUGGAACUGAGACACGGUCCAGACUCCUACGGGAGGCAGCAGUGGGGAAUAUUGGACAAUGGGCGAAAGCCUGAUCCAGCCAUGCCGCGUGUAUGAAGAAGGUCUUCGGAUUGUAAAGCACUUUAAGUUGGGAGGAAGGGCAGUAAGUUAAUACCUUGCUGUUUUUUGACCGUUUACCCAACCAGNAAUUUNUGGCCUCCGGNCUUANCUUUCGUGCCCCCAGGCCUAGCCCCGGCNGUGGUUAUACGUUUCUGCUUGUGGGUUGGCUNGGUGCAGUUUUUCUUCNNGNGGAUUNUCUCGGGGGCGUNGUUCGGGCUAGCGCCGUNUCGAUGUUGGNGUAGUGGNGNUNUGUCNCUGUNGCGUCGUNUCCGUCACCCGCCGAGUNUCCCAUCCUCGCNNACGUCUNGGNCCCCGUCACUCCCCCCCUCCUACGCUACNCUANGCNNNGAGUGGNCAUUUCUUUUUCGGG